This 219-nucleotide ribosomal RNA is filed under the name uncultured bacterium. Its description in RNAcentral is "partial 16S ribosomal RNA". It matches the Rfam family "Bacterial small subunit ribosomal RNA", at positions 111 to 334 of the family's 1533-position model. The record is from RNAcentral.
UAAUGUAUGGGGAUCUGCCCGAUAGAGGGGGGUAACUACUGGAAACGGUGGCUAAUACCGCAUAAUGUCUACGGACCAAAGCAGGGGCUCUUCGGACCUUGCACUAUCGGAUGAACCCAUAUGGGAUUAGCAGUAGGUGGGGUAAAGGCUCACCUAGGCGACGAUCUCUAGCUGGUCUGAGAGGAUGAUCAGCCACACUGGGACUGAGACACGGCCCAG